This 484-nucleotide ribosomal RNA is filed under the name uncultured bacterium. RNAcentral describes it as "partial 16S ribosomal RNA". It matches the Rfam family "Bacterial small subunit ribosomal RNA", at positions 30 to 507 of the family's 1533-position model. The record is from RNAcentral.
AUUGAACGCUGGCGGCAGGCCUAACACAUGCAAGUCGAGCGGAUGAAGGGAGCUUGCUCCUGGAUUCAGCGGCGGACGGGUGAGUAAUGCCUAGGAAUCUGCCUGGUAGUGGGGGAUAACGUCCGGAAACGGGCGCUAAUACCGCAUACGUCCUGAGGGAGAAAGUGGGGGAUCUUCGGACCGCACGCUAUCAGAUGAGCCUAGGUCGGAUUAGCUAGUUGGUGGGGUAAAGGCCUACCAAGGCGACGAUCCGUAACUGGUCUGAGAGGAUGAUCAGUCACACUGGAACUGAGACACGGUCCAGACUCCUACGGGAGGCAGCAGUGGGGAAUAUUGGACAAUGGGCGAAAGCCUGAUCCAGCCAUGCCGCGUGUGUGAAGAAGGUCUUCGGAUUGUAAAGCACUUUAAGUUGGGAGGAAGGGCAGUAAGUUAAUACCUUGCUGUUUUGACGUUACCAACAGAAUAAGCACCGGCUAACUACGUG